GCCAGCGUGGCCUAGUGGUUUGAGCAUCGGACUAUGACUCUGGAGAUCGGGGUUUGAUUCCCUGCUAAGUCA
Molecule: transfer RNA, 72 nt
Filed under: Phrynosoma platyrhinos (Desert horned lizard)
Lineage: Eukaryota; Metazoa; Chordata; Lepidosauria; Squamata; Phrynosomatidae
Description: tRNA-OTHER
Rfam family: tRNA (bases 9-72)
About the family: Transfer RNA (tRNA) molecules are approximately 80 nucleotides in length. Their secondary structure includes four short double-helical elements and three loops (D, anti-codon, and T loops).
Source: RNAcentral